Molecule: long non-coding RNA, 911 nt
Filed under: Amborella trichopoda
Lineage: Eukaryota; Viridiplantae; Streptophyta; Magnoliopsida; Amborellales; Amborellaceae
Description: long non-coding RNA (ATRI_LNC001743)
Source: RNAcentral
CCAAUUUCAAUUAUUCAAUAAUACAAUUGAUCGUACCACAAUUGUAAAAUUCCUAUUUUUCCAUGAAGCAAGCAACUUUUAUAAAGUGAUCCCAAAAGGAGUUCGCCAUGUGCAUGCAAUACCAAUGCCCAACAUUUACACUCCUUUGGCCAAACGAAUUCAUGGUUUCCAUAAUUUCAAUACAUCUAUAAAUAGGAAUAAUAAUGGUAACAGCAGGUCAAUAUGGGGAUGGAUGGUUAGCUGAUUUUGCCUUGCACAAAAACCAUGGAGAGAGAGAGAGAGAGGUACCUCCACAUCAACAUGGGGGUGGAGGUGAAGGCGUACACGGGUGGCCCCAAGGAUCCCAGCUCUGCUAUCCCAUUUCACAUGAUCAUGUAAGGUAAGUCACAAUUAAGAGAGAAGCUUUCUCAUAAAGCCUUGGAGAGAGAGAGAUGCAGAGUACCUAAAGUUGGUCAGGUAGGGGACGGUGCCCUCCACCAUGAGGCUUCGGUCUCACUCACUCCCCUUGUGACACGUGGGUACAAAACCUUCCAUGAGAGCACAGACAUUGCCGUGGGCAUGUGGUCCAGUAUGUUGGUUAGAGUUUGGGGAUUUUCGGCAACAUAUUAGCUACCAUUGUGUCGUAUUUGGGGUAGUUUCAUCAGUGUUUUCAAUUGUAGGUAGAUCCAUGGACCUGGAGUGGACAAUAAAGGUUGAAUUGAUAGUUCUUUUGUAGUAGUGGAAAGGAAAAUAAGAUAACGCUUUACGGAUUGCGAGGUAGCCCAUAUAUUUACUCAAAUCUUGUAAUUAUUCUAUGAUAAUAAAACAUUUUCUGUAAUCUGGUUUAGGGUGAAACAUUUGUACUUGUGUGCUUAAUGGUGAUUGGUUAUUUAUUUUAUUUUAUUUGGCUGUUCAUGGGUAUUUUAUUUGGC